RNAcentral lists this ribosomal RNA (464 nucleotides) under uncultured archaeon. RNAcentral's name for it is "partial 16S ribosomal RNA". The record is from RNAcentral.
AUUCCUUUAAGUUUCAAUCUUGCGACCGUACUUCCCAGGCGGCAGACUUAACGGCUUCCCUGCGGCACAGCAUUGGCCAUAAACCAACGCUUCACCGAGUCUGCAUCGUUUACAGCUGGGACUACCCGGGUAUCUAAUCCGGUUUGCUCCCCCAGCUUUCAUCCCUCACUGUCGAACGUGUUCUGGCGGACCGCCUUCGCCACUGGUGGUCUUCCGCGGAUCAAAGGAUUUUACCCCUACACGCGGAGUACCGUCCGCCUCUCCCGCCUCCUAGUCCCGCAGUAUCCUCUGCAGGCCAGCCGUUGAGCGACUGGAUUUAACAGAGGACUUACGGAACCGGCUACGGGUGCUUUAGGCCCAAUAAUCGUCCCGACCACUCGAGGAGCUGGUAUUACCGCGGCGGCUGACACCAGACUUGCCCUCCCCUUAUUCCCCUGCCUAUUUACAGCCGAGAAAAGCUCCCU